CAGUCGCCGCGGGAAUACGAAGGGUGCAAGCGUUACUCGGAAUUACUGGGCGUAAAGCGUGCGUAGGUGGUGGUUUAAGUCCGUUGUGAAAGCCCUGGGCUCAACCUGGGAAUUGCAGUGGAUACUGGGUCACUAGAGUGUGGUAGAGGAUAGUGGAAUUUCCGGUGUAGCAGUGAAAUGCGUAGAGAUCGGAAGGAACAUCUGUGGCGAAGGCGACUAUCUGGGCCAACACUGACACUAAGGCACGAAAGCGUGGGGAGCAAACAGGAUUAGAUACCCCCGUAGUCCCUGUCUCUUAUAA
RNAcentral lists this ribosomal RNA (301 nucleotides) under uncultured bacterium. RNAcentral's name for it is "partial 16S ribosomal RNA". It matches the Rfam family "Bacterial small subunit ribosomal RNA", at positions 509 to 809 of the family's 1533-position model. The record is from RNAcentral.